RNAcentral lists this long non-coding RNA (370 nucleotides) under Vigna radiata. RNAcentral describes it as "long non-coding RNA (VRAD_LNC011985)". Lineage: Eukaryota; Viridiplantae; Streptophyta; Magnoliopsida; Fabales; Fabaceae. The record is from RNAcentral.
AAGAUGGAGGUUCGGUUGCACUCAAAGUGUUUGUGAAAAUGCCCGGUGGUGUUUGGAUGAGUGUUUUGGUAGAAUUCUAACUCAGUAAGCUUUCCAAAGGAGAAAGGAGCUAGAGGAGGUGCUUGAUAACAAGGCACAAGGUUGAUAACAAAAGCAACAGGUGUGUCCUGUUAGGAGUAAGCGAUGAAUCAAAAGCGUAUCGCUUGUUUGAUCCAAUCUCUAAGAAAGUUAUUAUCAGUAAAGAUGUUAUUUUCGAAGAACAAAAGAUGUUAUUUUUCAAAGAAAAUAUACUNAUGAGAUACUAGCAAGGUUUGGCAUGGAGAAUAUCAAUGCAGUAAAAAAUCAUAUUGUCCCAGGUACGAAACUGUCA